Molecule: ribosomal RNA, 253 nt
Filed under: uncultured bacterium
Lineage: Bacteria
Description: partial 16S ribosomal RNA
Rfam family: Bacterial small subunit ribosomal RNA
Source: RNAcentral
UACGAGGGGGGCAAAUGUUGUUCGGAAUCACUGGGCGUAAAGGGAGCGUAGGCGGGCUUCUAAGUUAGGUGUUUAAUCCCGGGGCCCAACCCCGGUCAGGCACCUAAAACUGGGAGUCUUGAAUAGUGGAGAGGUCAGUGGAAUUGGGGGUGUAGCGGUGGAAUGCGUAGAGAUCCCCAAGAACACCAGUUGCGAAGGCGGCUGACUGGACACAUAUUGACGCUGAGGCUCGAAAGCAUGGGGAGCAAACGGG